UUUUUUAUAGCUCAGUCAGAAAAGCAUGAGACUCUUAAUCUCAGGGUCACGAGUUUGAGCCCCACGUUGGGCAAAA
This is a non-coding RNA of Podarcis lilfordi (Lilford's wall lizard), 76 nucleotides long. NCBI's taxonomy places the organism in Eukaryota, Metazoa, Chordata, Lepidosauria, Squamata, Lacertidae. The record is from the annotation of a GenBank genome assembly.